AUGGGGACAAAAACAAUGCAUAUUUUCAUGCUAUGGCUAACCAUAGACACAGAAAAAAAACAUUUGUCUGAACUGAUUGGCGAUAAUGGUCCUGUGUAUACCACCCAGGAUAUGUUGGAGGUUGCUACCUCCUAUUACAAAAACCUGUUCUGCUUUGAGAACAAACACAAUAUCUGUCUUGGUCCUUCCUUUUGGGAGGAGGAUGAAUUAGUUACACAGGAAGAAAAUGAUCAAUUACAAAAAAGUUUUUCUGAGGAGGAAAUUAAAGAGGCAAUUUUUGGCUCGUACGCCCAUGGGGCUCCUGGCCCUGAUGGGCUAUCCUUCUUAUUCUACCAGUCGUUUUGGGAUGUUAUCAAAAAAGAUUUUAUGGCCCUGGUCAGAGAUUUUGAGGAAGGGAAAUUAGAUUUAUAG
This 411-nucleotide ribosomal RNA is filed under the name Triticum aestivum (bread wheat). Its description in RNAcentral is "partial small subunit ribosomal RNA". Lineage: Eukaryota; Viridiplantae; Streptophyta; Magnoliopsida; Poales; Poaceae. The record is from RNAcentral.